RNAcentral lists this ribosomal RNA (497 nucleotides) under uncultured bacterium. RNAcentral's name for it is "partial 16S ribosomal RNA". It matches the Rfam family "Bacterial small subunit ribosomal RNA", at positions 28 to 507 of the family's 1533-position model. The record is from RNAcentral.
GAUGAACGCUGGCGGCGUGCCUAAUACAUGCGAGUCGAGCGAACGGACGAGAAGCUUGCUUUUCUGAUGUUAGCGGCGGACGGGUGAGUAACACGUGGAUAACCUACCUAUAAGACUGGGAUAACUUCGGGAAACCGGAGCUAAUACCGGAUAAUAUUUUGAACCGCAUGGUUCAAAAGUGAAAGACGGUCUUGCUGUCACUUAUAGAUGGAUCCGCGCCGCAUUAGCUAGUUGGUAAGGUAACGGCUUACCAAGGCAACGAUGCAUAGCCGACCUGAGAGGGUGAUCGGCCACACUGGAACUGAGACACGGUCCAGACUCCUACGGGAGGCAGCAGUAGGGAAUCUUCCGCAAUGGGCGAAAGCCUGACGGAGCAACGCCGCGUGAGUGAUGAAGGUCUUCGGAUCGUAAAACUCUGUUAUUAGGGAAGAACAUAUGUGUAAGUAACUGUGCACAUCUUGACGGUACCUAAUCAGAAAGCCACGGCUAACUACGUG